GGGUGCAUAGCUCAGUUGGUUAGAGCGCAGCCCUGAUAAGGCUGAGGUCGGAGAUUCGAGUUCUCCUGCACCCAC
This 75-nucleotide transfer RNA is filed under the name Botrimarina mediterranea. RNAcentral describes it as "Planctomycetes bacterium Spa11 tRNA-Ile". It matches the Rfam family "tRNA". Rfam says of the family: Transfer RNA (tRNA) molecules are approximately 80 nucleotides in length. The record is from RNAcentral. Lineage: Bacteria; Pseudomonadati; Planctomycetota; Planctomycetia; Pirellulales; Lacipirellulaceae.